RNAcentral lists this ribosomal RNA (362 nucleotides) under uncultured Didinium. RNAcentral describes it as "partial small subunit ribosomal RNA". It matches the Rfam family "Eukaryotic small subunit ribosomal RNA", at positions 30 to 432 of the family's 1831-position model. Lineage: Eukaryota; Ciliophora; Litostomatea; Haptorida. The record is from RNAcentral.
GCUUGUCUCAAAGAUUAAGCCAUGCAUGUCUAAGUAUAAAUAACUACACAGUAAAACUGCGAAUGGCUCAUUAAAACAGUUAUAGUUUAUUUGAUACAUUAUAAAUGGAUAACUGUAGAAACACUAGAGCUAAUACAUGCCAAGCCCGCAAGGGCGUAUUUAUUAGAUAUUCCAAGUAGGUGAUUCAUAAUAACUUCGCAAAUCUCAGUAAUACUGAGAUAAAUCAUUCAAGUUUCUGCCCUAUCAUGCUCUCGAUGGUAGUGUAUUGGACUACCAUGGCUCUCACGGGUAACGGGGAAUUAGGGUUCGAUUCCGGAGAAGGAGCCUGAGAAACGGCUACUACAUCUAAGGAAGGCAGCAGG